UGGGGAAUAUUGCACAAUGGGGGAAACCCUGAUGCAGCGACGCCGCGUGAGCGAAGAAGUAUUUCGGUAUGUAAAGCUCUAUCAGCAGGGAAGAUGAUGACGGUACCUGACUAAGAAGCCCCGGCUAACUACGUGCCAGCAGCCGCGGUAAUACGUAGGGGGCAAGCGUUAUCCGGAUUUACUGGGUGUAAAGGGAGCGUAGACGGCGAAGCAAGUCUGGUGUGAAAACCCGGGGCUCAACCCCGGGCCUGCAUUGGAAACUGUUUUGCUUGAGUGCCGGAGAGGUAAGCGGAAUUCCUAGUGUAGCGGUGAAAUGCGUAGAUAUUAGGAGGAACACCAGUGGCGAAGGCGGCUUACUGGACGGUAACUGACGUUGAGGCUCGAAAGCGUGGGGAGCAAACA
This 402-nucleotide ribosomal RNA is filed under the name uncultured bacterium. RNAcentral describes it as "bacterial SSU rRNA". It matches the Rfam family "Bacterial small subunit ribosomal RNA", at positions 355 to 774 of the family's 1533-position model. The record is from RNAcentral.